This 301-nucleotide ribosomal RNA is filed under the name uncultured bacterium. RNAcentral describes it as "partial 16S ribosomal RNA". It matches the Rfam family "Bacterial small subunit ribosomal RNA", at positions 509 to 807 of the family's 1533-position model. The record is from RNAcentral.
CAGUCGCCGCGGUAAUACGAAGGGGGCAAGCGUUGUUCGGAAUUACUGGGCGUAAAGGGCGCGUAGGCGGUGUACUAAGUUAGGCGUGAAAGCCCUGGGCUCAACCCGGGAAUUGCGCUUGAUACUGGUACGCUAGAAUCCAGGAGAGGUUGGUGGAAUUCCCAGUGUAGAGGUGAAAUUCGUAGACAUUCGGAAGAACACCAGUGGCGAAGGCGGCUUACUGGCUCAUUCUAGACGCUGAGGUGCGAAAGCGUGGGGAGCAAACAGGAUUAGAUACCCCCGUAGUCCCUGUCUCUUAUAC